CCUACGGGUGGCUGCAGUAGGGAAUCUUCCGCAAUGGACGAAAGUCUGACGGAGCGACGCCGCGUGAGCGAAGAAGGCCUUCGGGUCGUAAAGCUCUGUUGUUAGGGAAGAACAAGUACCGUUCGAAUAGGGCGGUACCUUGACGGUACCUAACGAGAAAGCCCCGGCUAACUACGUGCCAGCAGCCGCGGUAAUACGUAGGGGGCGAGCGUUGUCCGGAAUUAUUGGGCGUAAAGCGCGCGCAGGCGGUCCCUUAAGUCUGAUGUGAAAGCCCACGGCUCAACCGUGGAGAGCCAUUGGAAACUGUGGGACUUGAGUGCAGAAGAGGAGAGCGGAAUUCCAUGUGUAGCGGUGAAAUGCGUAGAGAUAUGGAGGAACACCAGUGGCGAAGGCGGCUCUCUGGUCUGUAACUGACGCUGAGGCGCGAAAGCGUGGGGAGCAAACAGGAUUAGAUACCCUAGUAGUC
RNAcentral lists this ribosomal RNA (466 nucleotides) under uncultured bacterium. RNAcentral describes it as "bacterial SSU rRNA". It matches the Rfam family "Bacterial small subunit ribosomal RNA", at positions 338 to 795 of the family's 1533-position model. The record is from RNAcentral.